GGGCGUAGACGGAAUGGCAAGUCUGAUGUGAAAGGCCGGGGCUCAACCCCGGGACUGCAUUGGAAACUGUCAAUCUAGAGUACCGGAGGGGUAAGUGGAAUUCCUAGUGUAGCGGUGAAAUGCGUAGAUAUUAGGAGGAACACCAGUGGCGAAAGCGGCUUACUGGACGGUAACUGACGUUGAGGCUCGAAAGCGUGGGGAGCAAACA
Molecule: ribosomal RNA, 208 nt
Filed under: uncultured bacterium
Lineage: Bacteria
Description: partial 16S ribosomal RNA
Rfam family: Bacterial small subunit ribosomal RNA
Source: RNAcentral